AUCCAUAAAUAUUGGAAAUAAUAAUCCCUAUUUCACACUAAAAACAUGAAUUUCAGUAAAAUAGUGGAUAUAUUGGAACCUUUUAUUUUUAAUUUUAUAGAUUUGUGAUUUUAUUGGUUCAGGAAACUCCCUUCACUAAUGCAAAUGUGCAACUCCUUGGCAGUUUAUACAUAGCCUUAGAGACCUGAGGUAUUUGAGAGGUUAGGUGACAUCUUCAGGGUCACACAGCUAGAAUGUGACAGAGCUUUUCCUACUCAAAGGCUGACUACUAUGCAAAGAUGCUUCUUGUAACCAUAAAACCUAAAUUUCAUAGAUCUGGAGUUGGAGGCCUUAGAGUUCUCAUGGGCAAUCGACAAGCAUUUAUUGUAAGUCAACUAAGUGUCAGACACUGUGGUAGGUAUUGGGGAUAUACAAAGACAAAAAUGAAACUGCCCUUGCCCUCAAGGAAUUUAUCUAGGGAGGAAGAAGACAAAAUAUAUUUGUGUAUAAGUAUAUACAAAAUACAUAUAAUUAAUUUAGAAAGGAGGGCACUUAGGAGCUUGAGGAAAUCAAAGAAGGCUUCAUGUAAGAGGUGGCAUUGCAGCUGAAUCUAAAAAGGAAACAAUGGAUUUUUAGAGGCAGGAGUAAGAAAGGGGUGCAUUUCAAUGUAUUGAAACAGCCCCCUCUUUAUGACGAAAUUGAGACUCAAGGCCACAUGGUUAAUAGAGCCAGGAUUCUGGUUCCCUACUUGCUCCAUCACUACUGCUAUGUAGAGCUGAGGUUUGAAUUUGGGUUCUGUGAAUUCUAAGAUUAACACUUCCUCCCAGGCCUCCUAAGGCUAAUCUAAUGCAUCCUUCCCUCAUCCCGGUUCAUCAAAGUAAGCCUUAGAAUCCCAUCUCACCUCAUGGCUCUUCCCCAACCGAAGGAAAUGCCCAGGGACUAAUAGGGAGUGGGAUCAGUGGACUGAGCCACAGCCUCUUCUGGUGUGGGAGCUUGCCAAAGGCUUUUUAGAAACUUAACUUUGGGACAUUCUCAGGUCUUAGCUCUUCCACACACUUAUCGUCUCCAAGAAUGACAAACAACACACAGUAGUCUAGGUCAUAGCUCAGGAGGGACCCAAGAGGUCAGCUAGUCCAAAGUCCUCAUUGAGUGGAUGAAACUCAGGCCAAAGUCACCCAGGUAUAGUAAGAUUAUGAGGUAGAAUUCAAACCUGGGUCCUAAUGCCAGAACCUGUGCUGUCCUACUGAAUAAUGAAUAAUGCUCUCCUACUGAAUAAUUCGCCUUAUCUAAUAGGGAUUCAUGUCCCCCCAGUCCAUCUCUUCACUCUACAGAGGCCUGACCUCUCUUGUCCCCUAAGAACUACAAUUGGAGAUGAAAAUUGAGAGAUUGCAGGAGCUCGGCCUCAUGAGGACCACUGUCCUGCCACACGCCUUGGAUAUGAUACAACCCAUCACAGCUGGAUUAAAAAAAUACACAAAAAUAUAUAUAUAUAUAUAAUAUAUAAUAUACAUUACAAAACUGGAUAUGGGGAGAGGGAGGGAAGGGUGUAGGGUGGCCUGAGCAAUUUGUAAUCCAUGAAGGGCCUGGGGGAAGCUCAGGGGGAGGGGCACACCUUGGGAAGGGGUGACAUGGGUGGGAGAGAAGGGGAACAGUACUUCAUAUGAAACUCAUAAAUAAUCAAAGGCUUUUGUUACCUCCUCCAAGCUGGUGUCAGGGAAAAGGCCAGUGGGGAGUGGC
Molecule: long non-coding RNA, 1716 nt
Organism: Antechinus flavipes (yellow-footed antechinus)
Lineage: Eukaryota; Metazoa; Chordata; Mammalia; Dasyuromorphia; Dasyuridae
Exons: 2
Source: RefSeq, a predicted model, not a curated record